GAUGAACGCUGGCGGCGUGCCUAAUACAUGCAAGUCGAGCGAACAGACGAGGAGCUUGCUCCUCUGACGUUAGCGGCGGACGGGUGAGUAACACGUGGAUAACCUACCUAUAAGACUGGGAUAACUUCGGGAAACCGGAGCUAAUACCGGAUAAUAUAUUGAACCGCAUGGUUCAAUAGUGAAAGACGGUUUUGCUGUCACUUAUAGAUGGAUCCGCGCCGCAUUAGCUAGUUGGUAAGGUAACGGCUUACCAAGGCAACGAUGCGUAGCCGACCUGAGAGGGUGAUCGGCCACACUGGAGCUGAGACACGGUCCAGACUCCUACGGGAGGCAGCAGUAGGGAAUCUUCCGCAAUGGGCGAAAGCCUGACGGAGCAACGCCGCAUGAGUGAUGAAGGUCUUCGGAUCGUAAAACUCUGUUAUGAGGGAAGAACAAAUGUGUAAGUAACUAUGCACGUCUUGACGGUACCUAAUCAGAAAGCCACGGCUAACUACGUG
Molecule: ribosomal RNA, 497 nt
Filed under: uncultured bacterium
Lineage: Bacteria
Description: partial 16S ribosomal RNA
Rfam family: Bacterial small subunit ribosomal RNA
Source: RNAcentral